UUCGGAUACAGGUGAAGUCUUUGUGCGGGACCCCAGGAACAUGUGCAGGAAUCCGGGACGAACUGGCGGUUUUUAUAUCCACGGGGUGGUAAAGAGAGAGAGCGGAGGUCGGGUACGAAGGCACGGAGACAGGGAAUGAAGAGCUGGAGACCAUCGGUGUCUCACUCCGUCCAAUGAGGGAAACCACUUGUGGCCACGCAGAUCAAACUUGCAGGAUUGUCUUUGUGGAUCCGCUGCGGCGUCUGAUAGGCCAUGCCCUUCACCUGCGCCUGCUUCUGUGGCCUGAACAGCUUUUACCGUGGACUGGGAAAGAAGAAAAGGGAAAAAGUGGAGGAGGAGAAGGAGGAGGAAGAGGGUGACCGAUGGAGGGAUCAGGAGACAAAGCACUCUUGAGUCCAGUUCUAUUUCCGUCCUCCGGCGGACGCUCCAGCCGAAACGGAGCUCCUCAGGAAAGUGGGACAUUGUGACGCGUCCGCCCCUGUUCACGCCCACGCCCACUGACA
This is a long non-coding RNA of Gasterosteus aculeatus aculeatus (three-spined stickleback), 503 nucleotides long. NCBI's taxonomy places the organism in Eukaryota, Metazoa, Chordata, Actinopteri, Perciformes, Gasterosteidae. The record is from Ensembl.